Molecule: long non-coding RNA, 457 nt
Filed under: Gallus gallus (chicken)
Lineage: Eukaryota; Metazoa; Chordata; Aves; Galliformes; Phasianidae
Description: lncRNA (ENSGALG00010011258.1)
Source: RNAcentral
UGACAACUAAAAUCCCCUUGCAGGCCGUCCAUAUCAACCUACGGCAGGUCAGAGCGCGUAACCCCUCCAGAACCGCAAGCCCAGGCCCACACCCUUUCCCCUUGUCAACAUUGUCACUUUAAACAGAACAUCUAGCCUUAUCGCCCAACCUGGAAAUUGACAGUGCAGGAGAAACCGACACCAGUGAGCAGCAUCUGUGCAGCACAUCUCCUCCUCUCUCUCGGCUUACAGUAUGAAUUCAGAAUGUCAAAGCUCAUUUUCUCAUCAGCCUCAGAUGCUGUUAAAGCACUGCAAGCUUGACUUCUCUUCUCGGACACGUUGGUUUUACAAUGGCGCAGGGUCAGCGUCCAGCUUACACCAGUGUAAGAAUCUGGAUCCACCCAAUUGAGAUGAUACUUGACCCGGAUGGUUGGAUUUCUGCUGUCAGUACCAAAUCCACAGGUCUGUUGGCCCUGUG